GUGCUCACUUGGGCAGCAUAUACAAUAAAAUUGGAAUGAUACAGAGAUUAACAUGACCCCUGCACAAGGAUGAUACACAAAUUUGUGAAACAAUCUGUAUUUUC
This is a small nuclear RNA of Lepus europaeus (European hare), 104 nucleotides long. NCBI's taxonomy places the organism in Eukaryota, Metazoa, Chordata, Mammalia, Lagomorpha, Leporidae. The record is from RefSeq and is a predicted model, not a curated record.